UGGGUAAUCCAAGCCUCGGCAGGUACAGUUCCUCCCUCAGCCCAGUGCAGUUGCAUCUGACUUACGAAACUUCAGUGACACCUGCUCUGUGCCAGACACUGAAGAUGGAGCAGUGAACAGCACUGACCCAGCCUGUCCUCCUGUUGCCUGCAGGCCAGAAGCAAGGUCUCGCUGUGUUACCCGGGCUGGAGUGCAGUGGCUACUUACAGGCAUGAUCAUAGCAUACUGCAGCCUCGAACUCCUGGACUAAAGCAGUUCUCC
This 261-nucleotide long non-coding RNA is filed under the name Pan troglodytes (chimpanzee). Its description in RNAcentral is "lincRNA". Lineage: Eukaryota; Metazoa; Chordata; Mammalia; Primates; Hominidae. The record is from RNAcentral.